GUUUCAUUUAAAUUUAAAUUAGAAUUUUAUUUUUUAGUUAAAAAGCUAAAAUUAUAUUAAAAGACGAGAAGACCCUAUAAAUCUUUAUAUUUAUUUUUAUUUUAAUUUAUAAAGAUAAAUUUUAUUAUAAUAAAAGUAUAUAUUUUAUUGGGGUGAUAUUAAAAUUUAAAAAACUUUUAAUUAUUAAAAUACAUUGAUUUAUGAUUUAUUGAUCCAUUAAUAAUGAUUAAAAAAUUAAGUUACUUUAGGGAUAACAGCGUAAUUUUUUUGGAGAGUUCUUAUUGAUAAAAAAGUUUGCGACCUCGAUGUUGGAUUAAGAGAUAGUUUUAAUGCAGAAGUUAAAAUAUAAAGUCUGUUCGACUUUUAAAUUCUUACAUGAUCUGAGUUCAAACCGGUGUGAGCCAGGUUGGUUUCUAUCUUUAAUUAUAUUAUAUAAUAUUUUAGUACGAAAGGAAUUUAUAUUAAAAAUUAUUUUUAUAUUAUGAAU
Molecule: ribosomal RNA, 487 nt
Filed under: Diasemopsis minuta
Lineage: Eukaryota; Metazoa; Arthropoda; Insecta; Diptera; Diopsidae
Description: partial 16S ribosomal RNA
Rfam family: Bacterial large subunit ribosomal RNA (bases 250-408)
Source: RNAcentral